CAGUAGCCAGCGGUAAUACGGAGGGGGCUAGCGUUGUUCGGAAUUACUGGGCGUAAAGCGCACGUAGGCGGCUCGGUAAGUUAGAGGUGAAAGCCCGGAGCUCAACUCCGGAAUUGCCUUUAAGACUGCCGAGCUAGUAGGUGAGAGAGGUAAGUGGAAUUCCGAGUGUAGAGGUGAAAUUCGUAGAUAUUCGGAAGAACACCAGUGGCGAAGGCGGCUUACUGGCUCAUUCUAGACGCUGAGGUGCGAAAGCGUGGGGAGCAAACAGGAUUAGAUACCCCAGUAGUCCCUGUCUCUUAUA
RNAcentral lists this ribosomal RNA (301 nucleotides) under uncultured bacterium. RNAcentral's name for it is "partial 16S ribosomal RNA". It matches the Rfam family "Bacterial small subunit ribosomal RNA", at positions 509 to 808 of the family's 1533-position model. The record is from RNAcentral.